RNAcentral lists this long non-coding RNA (761 nucleotides) under Gallus gallus (chicken). Its description in RNAcentral is "lncRNA (ENSGALG00010026289.1)". The record is from RNAcentral. Lineage: Eukaryota; Metazoa; Chordata; Aves; Galliformes; Phasianidae.
UCUCCAGAGGAGGAGGAGGGGAGUGUGAAGUUCUGAACUCCUUUGGACACGCGAUAAUGAGUUUGUCAAAACCAAUUCCAGCAGAGCUAUGAAAAACGUAUGUCAGCAGGACCGGUGACUGCCAAAUCCCAAACUCUUACUCAUGGCUGCUGCUUGCAUCCAGAACGAACGAUGAAAAUGGCCUUUCUGGCCUUGUUUCGGUUUGCUGCUUAUUGGAACUCAAGCUGGUUAUUCAGUGAACCGGCCCCAGCACCGUGACAGCCAAACAACACGUGCACGCUCACUCAGUAUCGCUCUGGCAGAGGGAAAUUCAGGACGUUUUGAACCAAACGAGGAGGUUUUAUGAAACUUCCAUGUAGCUGAAAGCAAAAGUUGGAAGAUUAUGCAACUCGGUUGGGUUGGCUGCCAUUGCUAUUGAAAAAGUCGCCCCUUCCAGAGGAAAGCAGACAAACAUCGCAGAGCUGUGGUUUAACUGUCCUUCCCACGGCUUCGGGAGGGAUGAAAGCAGAGCCCUGGCCAUUGCACAGUGCUUGGAUGGCUCCUGUCAGAGCCUCCCAAGGGCAUCCCAUCAUGGCACGUCUCUCUCGGUGUCUCUGUCUUCACAUCCCCUUGCACCACUGACCAGAACAAAGAGCAGCACCUCUGCUUUCAGUACAAGUUUCCCUUGGGGUCAGGGUGAUCUGUGAAGUUGAGCGUUGGUGGGUACGUGUUGGUGUGUGAGGGCACACCAAAGCCCAGUGGGCAAAUUGAGAAGAAUGGGC